Non-coding RNA from Bombyx mori (domestic silkworm), 84 nucleotides. The record is from Rfam. NCBI's taxonomy places the organism in Eukaryota, Metazoa, Arthropoda, Insecta, Lepidoptera, Bombycidae.
UUAGCUCAUAUUUGUAUGGAAUGGGAUCGUUUGCCCACGUUUGCCGCAAGGGGCGCUGUUCCAACUGCAUACAAUAUUGGGUUA